CAGUAGCCACGGGAAUACGAAGGGUGCAAGCGUUACUCGGAAUUACUGGGCGUAAAGCGUGCGUAGGUGGUGGUUUAAGUCCGUUGUGAAAGCCCUGGGCUCAACCUGGGAAUUGCAGUGGAUACUGGGUCACUAGAGUGUGGUAGAGGAUAGUGGAAUUUCCGGUGUAGCAGUGAAAUGCGUAGAGAUCGGAAGGAACAUCUGUGGCGAAGGCGACUAUCUGGGCCAACACUGACACUGAGGCACGAAAGCGUGGGGAGCAAACAGGAUUAGAUACCCGAGUAGUCCCUGUCUCUUAUAC
This 301-nucleotide ribosomal RNA is filed under the name uncultured bacterium. RNAcentral's name for it is "partial 16S ribosomal RNA". It matches the Rfam family "Bacterial small subunit ribosomal RNA", at positions 509 to 807 of the family's 1533-position model. The record is from RNAcentral.